CAGUAGGUUGAUUUGGGGAGGAACGGAACUGUUAGUUUUCUCUGCAUGUUCUUUUAGUUGAGAAAUUCAGAUAUUGUUUGUCCUGUCUGUUUCUGGGAGGCUGUGGACAAAUGAAAAAUUAGUAUAUACCUCUUACUGAAGUUACCUCCACUUCUGGUAGUUCAGGAAGAGAAUGAAGGAAAACUACAGUGGAGAGGACUUGUAUGGGGAACUGUCUGAUUAGUGUUAGAGUAAGCAGUCCACAAAUCUGCAGAGCUACAAUAUUUGUGUAACCGGGUCUGCCUGCCAACUUUUGUCUAAACAACAGUCACAAUCCGAAACUUUUUCCAUUUAUCAUUUUUCAGUGACUGUACCAUAGCUACAAAAGAAUUUUCACUAGCCACAGCAUAAAGCCCUGCUUCGCUCUUGGAUCCAGUUACUUUUGCAAUAGACCUGCUCAUAUCAGAUCAAAAACCUAGAAAGUGUGCAAACGCAGGACAGAGUAAAUCUCUUUUCUCCAACCCCUCACCCCACAAAGCACAAACUUCAACAUUACCAGCCGUGUCCUUUUCUCCAGACAAGUUUGUAAAAGGCUCCUUGUUCAGUGAACUCUGGAAAUUGGGAGGGGAACAAGCUACUGCUUUGUUUUCUGUUUACACCCUGACAUUUAUAAACAAGCGAAAAAUGCAGCCCACUUGUGGAAUAGACAGUAUUCUGCUACUUGGCAAGAAAUAACCCAGUUCAUCAUGAAGACAUGGUAAUAACGUGAGCCAAAUUUCACUCAGACUGCCCUGAAUGUUAACACCUGCAG
Molecule: long non-coding RNA, 790 nt
Filed under: Gopherus agassizii (Agassiz's desert tortoise)
Lineage: Eukaryota; Metazoa; Chordata; Testudines; Testudinidae
Description: lncRNA (ENSGAGG00000023563.1)
Source: RNAcentral